UUUCCGUAGGUGAACCUGCGGAAGGAUCAUUACCGAGUUAGGGUCCCCUCGUGGGGCCCGACCUCCCAACCCCAUGUGAACCGAAACCUGUUGCUUCGGGGGCGACCCUGCCGUUCGGCGCGGCGCCCCCGGAGGCUCAUCAAACACUGCAUCUCUGCGUCGGAGUCUUAAUGAAUUUAAACAAAACUUUUAACAACGGAUCUCUUGGUUCUGGCAUCGAUGAAGAACGCAGC
This 233-nucleotide unclassified non-coding RNA is filed under the name uncultured fungus. RNAcentral describes it as "sequence contains ITS1, 5.8S rRNA gene". The stretch from base 185 to 233 matches the Rfam family "5.8S ribosomal RNA", at positions 1 to 49 of the family's 154-position model. Lineage: Eukaryota; Fungi. The record is from RNAcentral.